RNAcentral lists this ribosomal RNA (252 nucleotides) under uncultured bacterium. RNAcentral describes it as "partial 16S ribosomal RNA". It matches the Rfam family "Bacterial small subunit ribosomal RNA", at positions 524 to 776 of the family's 1533-position model. The record is from RNAcentral.
UACGUAGGGGGCGAGCGUUGUCCGGAUUUAUUGGGCGUAAAGCGCGCGCAGGCGGCCGCGUAAGUCGGGUGUGAAAACCUGGGGCUCAACCCCGGGCGUGCAUCCGAUACUGCGUGGCUCGAGACAGGUAGGGGAGAUCGGAAUUCCUGGUGUAGCGGUGAAAUGCGUAGAUAUCAGGAGGAACACCGGUGCGAAGGCGGAUCUCUGGGCCUGUUCUGACGCUGAGGCGCGAAAGCUAGGGGAGCGAACAGG